GAUGAACGCUGGCGGCGUGCCUAAUACAUGCAAGUCGAGCGAACAGAUGAGGAGCUUGCUCCUCUGACGUUAGCGGCGGACGGGUGAGUAAAACGUGGAUAACCUACCUAUAAGACUGGGAUAACUUCGGGAAACCGGAGCUAAUACCGGAUAAUAUAUUGAACCGCAUGGUUCAAUAGUGAAAGACGGUUUUGCUGUCACUUAUAGAUGGAUCCGCGCCGCAUUAGCUAGUUGGUAAGGUAACGGCUUGCCAAGGCAACGAUGCGUAGCCGACCUGAGAGGGUGAUCGGCCACACUGGAACUGAGACACGGUCCAGACUCCUACGGGAGGCAGCAGUAGGGAAUCUUCCGCAAUGGGCGAAAGCCUGACGGAGCAACGCCGCGUGAGUGAUGAAGGUCUUCGGAUCGUAAAACUCUGUUAUUAGGGAAGAACAAAUGUGUAAGUAACUAUGCACGUCUUGACGGUACCUAAUCAGAAAGCCACGGCUAACUACGUG
Molecule: ribosomal RNA, 497 nt
Filed under: uncultured bacterium
Lineage: Bacteria
Description: partial 16S ribosomal RNA
Rfam family: Bacterial small subunit ribosomal RNA
Source: RNAcentral